Oncorhynchus nerka (sockeye salmon) is the source of this 3120-nucleotide long non-coding RNA. RefSeq lists it as uncharacterized. Lineage: Eukaryota; Metazoa; Chordata; Actinopteri; Salmoniformes; Salmonidae. The record is from RefSeq and is a predicted model, not a curated record. The transcript has 3 exons.
UCUAGUUGAUAGGUAUUCGACUAGCCGGACUGUUCCCCGGACUCCAUGUGUAGGGAUUUGUACAAUGCUUGAACAAGGCUAUUAAAUUUGACAUUGGUGUCUGCCUUUAUUCCUUUAUCCAACAUAUCAUACUGAAACAUGGUACGUUGGUACACACGUUUGUUAUUUUUGUAGCUAAGUACAGUAUAGGCGCAGUUAUGUUCCAUAUGCGAACACACUCCGUUUCCUACUCACAACACAGAUCAACUAGCUGGCUAGCUACCAUCACUACCUACCUCGAUGACUGAAGGCAAAGAAAUCUAAUAUUCUAUCGCUAUGGCAGCGAUAUGGUUCUCACAGGGGACUGGAAUACUAAUUGGGACAACUUCAGGGAUGAAAUCAAGGACUAUGUGCUGGCGACCGGUCUACAUGAGAAACCCAACGAGGUACAAGCUGCAACUCUGAGAAGUUUAAUGGGCAGCAAAUGCAGGCAUAUCUACCGGCACAAUCUCACCCUCACAGCACGACAGCAGUGUGAUGCAAAGGCUAUAUUGGAUGCAUUGGAGAAUUACUUCAAACCCGCCAGAAAAGUCAUUUACGAGCGGUUCGUUUUUGGAAGCUGCAAACAGGAAGAGGGGGUUGAAGCCAGGCCCUCCUAACAGGAGGGUGUUCCUGUCAGCAAGACCCAAAGAGAAGAGACUGGUUGAGGGAGUGAGGAGUACUUUCUAUAGAGGUGUCACCAGGGGUGCUGCCUGUCCUCUAAGUGGCAGAGGUGUACAGGAACUUUGCCAAUGCUACAGCCCCUUUGGUCACUACAAUGGACAUGUCCACUGAGGUCCCAUUAGUGGAUUCUGGCAUUGGUGAAGUCCAGGCAGGGAGCAUCCUGGCAUACCAGCAGCCUGCUACAACAACUCGCAACAUCACUUCGCGUGAAGUUGCCCCCCCUCCAUCUCUGCCACUUGAUGGUUACAGUCUUGGCCCAUCUGUGUGCAUAUUUGUCCAUAGUGUGCAUGAACUCCUACACAUGAGCUCACUGGCAAUUACAUUGGAAACAGCCCACAAGGUCGAGAGUGCUAUGAGAGUGCAUAGCUUAUUGCUGGAGGGGCAUCACCUUCACAAGCCACGCAUAACCUCCUCCGGCUUCAAAGAGGUCUGCCAUGUGAGGGGGCAGAGUUCUGCAGAACACCUGGCUGACAGAACUCAUCAGUCUGCAGAGAUGAAGAGAGGUCUGUAGAUGGUGUUUGCCGUUGUGGAGGAAUACUGUGUUCUCCAGAAUGUCAACAGUUACCGCUGUGCAUUUCUUAUCUACCCAGAUGCCCCUUGGCUUUGGGUAUUUCCUGAUGGACCCCACAGAGAGUCCAUCAUUUGGCCUUCUGGAGAUAAAGUGCCCAAAUGUCAAGAGCUACGUGGACUGCCCUUACCUAAAGACCCAGAAUGGUACAACAGCACUGAAACACCAGCAUGCAUACAACUAGCAGAUACAAGGUCAGAUGCUGAUCUCAGGGUUGGAGUGGUGUGACUUUGUGGUAUAUGCCCAGGAGGACAUGCGGAUACAGCACAUCCACAGACUGCCAAGUUUGGGAAGCAAUCAGAGAGAAAGCUGGUCAUUUUUUUUAUUACUCUCCUUGGUCAAAUGUAUCCAAAUGUAAAAUGUACACUUUUUUCCAGAGAUGACUUGUUGAAAUAUCAAUUAUAUAUAACCAUAGUCUUGUUUUUUCAUUCUGAUGAAUAUUAAUUUUAAAAUAUAUAUUUUUCAACUUUUGUACAUCUUCCCUUUAUCUGUGAUUAUUUCUAACAUAUAUUAUUUCCUAAUGUUAUGAGGUAUAAGGCAUUAUAUUAUGAAAGAUAACCACUUUUUUGUGCUAACUGUUUUAUCCCCCCGAAUCCAACAAAUGUAUUAUAUUGAUGUCAAAUGUUUUGGGUUUGUUAGUGAAAACACUGGACAAAAUAGUAGAGUGCCGGCCUGUAGACCUGCAACACUGAACAUAAGCAGAAGCAGAGAAAAAAACAGGCCAAUCCAGUUACCAGUCUAAUCGUAUUGAAAUUGACAUCAUCACUAGUCCUUUGCCCAAGCUUUGACCAGCGGCCCAUUCUGGUAGUUGAUGAGGAGGCAGGCAACGGUGUAGAGCUGGUUGAUCCCAGUGAAGGAGAGAGGUAUGAGUGUCAAACAGCUUAUGAUCUUUCGUUCUGCUAAUCAGCCGCUCCACAUGGACCCUCAGCCGAGUGGUGGAUUGCAUCUCCCUGACUUCUGCUGCUGGCAUCUGUGAUCUCUUUAAGAGAAAAGUCGGUCUGUAUACCUUGCAGGGCACACAUUCGUCCACAAGGAAACCUUUGUCCACCAUAAUGGUUAUCCCUGGAUUCAGCGGAGACACGAUGCCGGACGGCUUCAAGAUCUCCUUAAUACGGCGGCAGCAUAAAGGGCUGAAACAAAGGUGAUUGCAUCAUGUGGUGCCAUGCCAAUCAUCAAUUCGAAGGUGCAGUGGGACAGCGCAACUCUGUGCAGUCUAUCACCACUUGUGUGUCUGGGUAUUCCUUGAAUUCCUCUGGCAAGUGAGUGCUUAACUGCUUCCUUGGACAUUCAGAUACUUUGAUAAUUGACAUUACUUUAAUUUACUGUUGUAAUUCCUGAUAGUGUGACCUCCUCAUUCCUCUUUGCAGCUGCCCUUGCUCUGGUCACAUGUACCAUGUUGUGGGAUGCCGGUUCGAUGAGCUUCCAGAAGGCCAUUAGGUGGGCAUAUGUGGCAAGCUUAUGUCAGAAAUGAGAAAUGUUAUGAUGAAUGAUGAGAGAAGAUGUAUUUAUAGCAAUCCUAGGUACCAUUCACUGCCUCCAGUAUAGAAGACAAGAUGUACAAGCAUGUACACUUAGGCAUGAUGAGAAAAUAAAAUAUUUUUAUUACCUGAGAGCAAAGCUCUAGAAACAACGUGUAACUUCUAAGCCUGCAAUAAAGAUCAAGGCACUCCUUUUGUGCCAAAAAAAAUAAAAAUCCUUUAUUUAGGUUGAUUUUUACUUACUUUGUUGCAAACGUUUCUACUCAAGCCACAACAUAGUUUUGCUCUCAGUCGAUUUAGACCUUAUUUUCAAUGCGCAUCCUUUUGAUACCAUAUAUUGUUAUUUUUAUUGAAGUAAAGCAGCACUCUUUA